This 465-nucleotide ribosomal RNA is filed under the name uncultured Klebsiella sp. RNAcentral's name for it is "bacterial SSU rRNA". It matches the Rfam family "Bacterial small subunit ribosomal RNA", at positions 338 to 795 of the family's 1533-position model. The record is from RNAcentral. Lineage: Bacteria; Pseudomonadati; Pseudomonadota; Gammaproteobacteria; Enterobacterales; Enterobacteriaceae.
CCUACGGGCGGCUGCAGUGGGGAAUAUUGCACAAUGGGCGCAAGCCUGAUGCAGCCAUGCCGCGUGUGUGAAGAAGGCCUUCGGGUUGUAAAGCACUUUCAGCGGGGAGGAAGGCGUUAAGGUUAAUAACCUUGUCGAUUGACGUUACCCGCAGAAGAAGCACCGGCUAACUCCGUGCCAGCAGCCGCGGUAAUACGGAGGGUGCAAGCGUUAAUCGGAAUUACUGGGCGUAAAGCGCACGCAGGCGGUCUGUCAAGUCGGAUGUGAAAUCCCCGGGCUCAACCUGGGAACUGCAUUCGAAACUGGCAGGCUAAAGUCUUGUAGAGGGGGGUAGAAUUCCGGGUGUAGCGGUGAAAUGCGUAGAGAUCUGGAGGAAUACCGGUGGCGAAGGCGGCCCCCUGGACAAAGACUGACGCUCAGGUGCGAAAGCGUGGGGAGCAAACAGGAUUAGAUACCCUAGUAGUC